This 468-nucleotide ribosomal RNA is filed under the name uncultured bacterium. RNAcentral describes it as "partial 16S ribosomal RNA". It matches the Rfam family "Bacterial small subunit ribosomal RNA", at positions 62 to 543 of the family's 1533-position model. The record is from RNAcentral.
UCGGACGCGAAAGGCCCGCAAGGGCCCGGUAGAGUGGCGUACGGGUGAGUAACACGUGGACAACCUGCCUCGGAGUGGGGGAUAACCUCCCGAAAGGGGGGCUAAUACCGCAUAACACCUUUGGGCCCAAGCCUGAGGGUUGAAAGGGGAGACCUGCUCGGAGAGGGGUCCGCGCCUGAUUAGCUAGUUGGUGAGGUAACGGCUCACCAAGGCUGCGAUCAGUAGCCGUCCUGAGAGGGAGCACGGCCACACUGGAACUGAGACACGGUCCAGACUCCUACGGGAGGCAGCAGUGGGGAAUUUUUGGCAAUGGGGGCAACCCUGACCAAGCAACGCCGCGUGGGUGAUGAAGUCUUUUGGGACGUAAAGCCCUUUCGGCAGGGACGAAGCAAGUGACGGUACCUGCAGAAGAAGCCCCGGCUAACUCCGUGCCAGCAGCCGCGGUAAUACGGGGGGGGGCAAGCGUUG